This 364-nucleotide small nuclear RNA is filed under the name Chlorocebus sabaeus (green monkey). RNAcentral's name for it is "7SK RNA". It matches the Rfam family "7SK RNA". Rfam says of the family: 7SK was discovered as an abundant small nuclear RNA in the mid-70s but a possible function has only recently been suggested. Two independent studies have found that 7SK RNA binds the CDK9/cyclin T complex (known as elongation factor P-TEFb). The record is from Rfam by way of RNAcentral. Lineage: Eukaryota; Metazoa; Chordata; Mammalia; Primates; Cercopithecidae.
GGAGGUGGGGGGAUCUGGCAGUGGCACUUGUCACCCCAUUGAUUGCCAGGGUUGAUUUGGACCCCAUUGAUCGCCAGGGUUGAUUUGGACCCCAUUGAUCGCCAGGGUUGAUUUGGCUGACCUGGCUGGCUAGGUGGGUGUCCUCUUCCUCACUCACUGCCCCACGUGCAUCCCUCUUGAAGCUGCCUGCUAGGUUGAAGAGGGCAACCAUCCCGAAUAGAGGAGGACAGGUCUUUGGUUAAGGGUAUAUGAGUAGCUGCAUUCCCCUGCUAGAACCUGCAAACAGGCUCUCAAGAAUUGUAGUAUUUUGCUUGAAGUCAUAUAGCUAGUAAGUUGGUGAAUGAAUUUGAAUGAGAUCUAAUUC